CGCCGAGCAAUUUCUUCCGUUUCUAGAACAGUAGAACGCUCUUUCUCAUUGUUAUUCACUCUUUUGAAAGAGACUGAAGAAUGUGAAACCAAAAUGAAUGUGUUAAAUGUGAUGUCGCUUCUCAUCGAAUUACUGGGGAACCAAAUGAAGCCUUUUCUCGGUACGUUGCUGCAAAUCCUUCCCGCUUUAUGGGAUGCUUCUGAGGAACACAAUCUUCUACGGUGCGCUAUUAUUAGCACCCUCGUUCAUGUUGUUAAGGGAGUAGGAAGUAAUACUGAAGAUCUGCUUCAUUGUCUGCUACCAGUUGUUUUCCUUAUUUGUUUAGAACUAGGAUCUGAAAAUCUCAUUAUAUGCUGUGAUAUUCUUAUAAUCGUAAUUUUUCACUAGUAGAUGGAACAAGGAUUCCUUAACCUUAUUUCCUAGAUGGGGAAUUUAUUUUAGCGAUGCGGUCGUUUUCCAUGUGUUUUUAUGGAAUUUAAUGUCAGAAUAUGUUUCUUUGUGUCUCCCAUCAGUCUAAUAUGGAGUUUAAAAAUUUUUUAAAUGUUCAAGCUGCAAUAUGUAACAAAUCAAUACUAAAUGAGAACUCG
Molecule: long non-coding RNA, 587 nt
Filed under: Daphnia pulicaria
Lineage: Eukaryota; Metazoa; Arthropoda; Branchiopoda; Diplostraca; Daphniidae
Description: uncharacterized LOC124311849, transcript variant X3
Source: RNAcentral